RNAcentral lists this small RNA (109 nucleotides) under Arabidopsis thaliana (thale cress). RNAcentral describes it as "ATSL030200". The record is from RNAcentral. Lineage: Eukaryota; Viridiplantae; Streptophyta; Magnoliopsida; Brassicales; Brassicaceae.
GGCCGCAGCUCUCACAUGUUUGUUUUGCAGACGACUUAAUUUUGUUUACUGAAGCUUCGGUUACGCAAAUUCGAAUAAUCCGUUCAGUCUUGGAGAGGUUUUGUGGGGC